Molecule: ribosomal RNA, 77 nt
Filed under: Escherichia coli
Lineage: Bacteria; Pseudomonadati; Pseudomonadota; Gammaproteobacteria; Enterobacterales; Enterobacteriaceae
Also listed under: 5 other names
Description: partial 16S ribosomal RNA
Rfam family: Bacterial small subunit ribosomal RNA (bases 1-65)
Source: RNAcentral
UCAUGACUGGGGUGAAGUCGUAACAAGGUAACCGUAGGGGAACCUGCGGUUGGAUCACCUCCUUACCUUAAAGAAGC